AUUCUCAUCCCGAAUUUCCUCCUUGCCAAAGAGAGGGAAGAUGGCUGUUGUAAGAAAGAUCUCGGUUCACACUGAUUAUUGGUGUUAUUUUUGAGCCUGGAAAAUUACCUCAACGCCCAAGCUAACGGCUAGCUGAAACCGUCAACAAGGACAUCCAGACACAAGAACAGCUUCUGACAUCAGGCGAUUGUCCACUAAUUGCCAAAUGGGACACUUCAUGGUCCUGUCACCAAGACAAAUUAGUGUUGUGUCAACAGACACUUGGCAAUAAGCAUAACAGCUGUUCCUGUUUGGCUCAGAGGAACAAACUGCAUGGGUUUCCUUGACAAAUCAAUGCUGCAGAAUGUGAUGGAAUAAUCAUGAUGGAACCGCAUUCACUACGGAUCAUCUGAACAUCCAGCUGACACAACUAUGAUACCACUUUACGGGACUUUUUAAAGCAUACAGCUUGGAUUCAAAAGUUAUUAAACAUUUAAAACAACAGAUAUUUUUAGCCACAGACGGCAGUUUUGGUCUUUGAGGGUUAAUGGAUGCCUUCAGUGUCACAAACAAACUUCCCUGAUCACCUGGACUGUGAAGCAGAGAGAGGGGUAAUCAAAAGACUGACCAGUUCUGAAACAAGAUGAACUUGUACCAGGAUGAUGGAAAGAGAAGAGUAUGGAGAAGGAAAGGAAGGGCUCAUGAUCUAAAGCAUACCACAUCAUCUGUCAAACCUGGUGGAGGAAGUGUUAUGGCGUGGGGAUGUACGGCUGCCAGUGGAACUCUCUCACUGGUGUUUAUUGAUGAUGUGACUGCUGAUAGAAGGAGCAGGAUGGAUUCUGAAGUGUAUAGAGCUAUAGUUUCUGCUCAGAUUCAGUCAAAUGCUGCAAAACUGAUAGAUCAGCGCUUCACAGUACGGAUGGAUUAUGACCCAAAACAUACCGGGAAAGCAACCCAAGAGCUUCUUAAGGCAAAGAAAUUAAAUGUUCUUAAAUGUCUGAUGACCUCAACCUUACUUACUGAAGACAAAACUGAAGACAGAAAGACCCACAAGCAAGCAGCAACUGAAGGCCUGGUAAAGUAUCUCAAGGGAGGAAACUCAGUAUUUGGUGAUGUCCAUGGGUUCCAGACUUCAGGCAGUCAUUGACUGCAAAUGAUUUGCAUCUAAGUAUUAAAAAUAAUCCUAAUAUUUAUUAUUGUUCGUUUGUCCAAUUACUUUUGAGCCUGUGAAAAUGGAGGGGCUCUGUAAAAAAAAAAAUGGCUGUAAUUCCUAAUAUUUUUUGUUAAACCCCUUGAAUUAAAGCUGAAAGUCUACACUUCAAUCACAUUUUGUUUGUUUCAUUUCAAAUCCAUUGUAUGGUGUACGGAGUGUGGCGACUCAAGGCUGCGGCGGGAUGAACACAGACACGCAGGAGGCAGAUUAGGUGCAAAAAGAGUGAUGUUUUAUUUUGAAUCCAUGAGGGAAGAGGAAUGGUGCAGGUGUGAUGGCUCUGUCUGAAGGUGAAGUCGGGCGCUGUCUUCCC
Molecule: long non-coding RNA, 1502 nt
Organism: Ictalurus punctatus (channel catfish)
Lineage: Eukaryota; Metazoa; Chordata; Actinopteri; Siluriformes; Ictaluridae
Exons: 4
Source: RefSeq, a predicted model, not a curated record